RNAcentral lists this ribosomal RNA (475 nucleotides) under uncultured bacterium. RNAcentral's name for it is "partial 16S ribosomal RNA". It matches the Rfam family "Bacterial small subunit ribosomal RNA", at positions 28 to 507 of the family's 1533-position model. The record is from RNAcentral.
GAUGAACGCUAGCGGCAGGCCUAACACAUGCAAGUCGAGGGAUAAGCCUUCGGGCUCUGACCGGCGCACGGGUGCGUAACGCGUAUACAAUCUGCCUUUUAUCCGGGGGAUAGCCCGAAGAAAUUUGGAUUAAUACCCUAUGGUAUAAGAGCACGGCAUCGUGCACUUAUUAACGCUACGGCUGUAAAAGAUGAGUAUGCGUUCUAUUAGCUAGUGGGAGAGGUAACGGCUCCCCAAGGCGACGAUAGUUAGGGGUUCUGAGAGGGAUGUCCCCCGGACUGGUACUGAGGUACGGACCAGACUCCUACGGGAGGGAGCAGUGAGGAAUACUGGACAAUGAUCGGAAGACUGAUCCAGCCAUGCCGCGUGCAAGAGGACGGCGUUAUGAGAUGUAAACUGCUUUUGAAAGAGAAGAAUAAGGAGUACGUGUACUUUGAUGACGGUACCUUACGAAUAAGCAUCGGCUAACUCCGUG